RNAcentral lists this ribosomal RNA (465 nucleotides) under uncultured bacterium. RNAcentral describes it as "partial 16S ribosomal RNA". It matches the Rfam family "Bacterial small subunit ribosomal RNA", at positions 338 to 795 of the family's 1533-position model. The record is from RNAcentral.
CCUACGGGAGGCAGCAGUGGGGAAUAUUGCUCAAUGGGCGAAAGCCUGACGCAGCGACGCCGCGUGAGGGAUGAAGGUCUUCGGAUCGUAAACCUCUGUCAGCAGGGAAGAACGGUCACUGUGCUAAUCAUCAGUGAAUUGACGGUACCUGCAAAGGAAGCACCGGCUAACUCCGUGCCAGCAGCCGCGGUAAUACGGAGGGGGCGAGCGUUAAUCGGAAUUACUGGGCGUAAAGCGCUCGUAGGCGGUAUGUCAAGUCAAGGGUGAAAUCCCCGCGCUCAACGUGGGAACUGCAUUUGAAACUGGCAGACUGGAGUGUGUGUGAGGAUAGUGGAAUUCCAGGUGUAGGGGUGAAAUCCGUAGAUAUCUGGAGGAACAUCAGUGGCGAAGGCGACUAUCUGGCACAUAACUGACGCUGAGGAGCGAAAGCGUGGGUAGCAAACAGGAUUAGAUACCCCUGUAGUC